This 370-nucleotide ribosomal RNA is filed under the name Blastocystis hominis. RNAcentral describes it as "SSU rRNA". It matches the Rfam family "Eukaryotic small subunit ribosomal RNA", at positions 549 to 929 of the family's 1831-position model. Lineage: Eukaryota; Bigyra; Opalinata; Blastocystidae. The record is from RNAcentral.
UGGAGGGCAAGUCUGGUGCCAGCAGCCGCGGUAAUUCCAGCUCCAAUAGCGUAUAUUAACGUUGUUGCAGUUAAAAAGCUCGUAGUUGAAGUGUGGGUGAUCGCUGUUGUGAGACUUCGGUCUCUCGACAGUAAGUCACCCCCUUCCAGUAUCCAGUAGUGGGUAUUCAGUUACUUACUAUUGUGUGUUGGUCAUUUACUGUGAGAAAAUUAGAGUGUUCAAAGCAGGCGUUUGCUUGAAUAGAUUAGCAUGGAAUAAUAAUUGAAGGCUUUCGUGUUCGAUUUGAUUGGUUUGUUCAUGGAAGCAAGGUUAAAAGGAACAGUUGGGGGUAUUCAUAUUCACUAGUUAGAGGUGGAAUUCUCGGAUUUAU